RNAcentral lists this microRNA precursor (72 nucleotides) under Myotis brandtii (Brandt's bat). RNAcentral's name for it is "mir-9193 microRNA precursor family". It matches the Rfam family "mir-9193 microRNA precursor family". The record is from Rfam by way of RNAcentral. Lineage: Eukaryota; Metazoa; Chordata; Mammalia; Chiroptera; Vespertilionidae.
GGUGGGGGGGAGGGCCCUCAGCCUGGAUUGUAAGAGGGCACAGGCCAGGCCGAGGGACCCCACUGGUGCACG